This is a non-coding RNA of Acanthosepion pharaonis, 111 nucleotides long. NCBI's taxonomy places the organism in Eukaryota, Metazoa, Mollusca, Cephalopoda, Sepiida, Sepiidae. The record is from the annotation of a GenBank genome assembly.
CUGCCAUAUCACACUGAAACACCAGUUCCUGUAUGAUAAUUGAAGUUAAACAAUGUUAAGCUUUGUCAGUACCUUGAUGGGUGACCACUUGGGAAUACCAGGUGGUGUAAG